Small nucleolar RNA from Gossypium raimondii (Peruvian cotton), 107 nucleotides. It matches the Rfam family "Plant small nucleolar RNA R71". From Rfam's summary of the family: R71 is a member of the C/D box family of snoRNAs containing the C (UGAUGA) and D (CUGA) box motifs. Multiple nearly identical copies of this snoRNA have been identified in Arabidopsis, and it is thought to function as a 2'-O-ribose methylation guide for 18S ribosomal RNA. Lineage: Eukaryota; Viridiplantae; Streptophyta; Magnoliopsida; Malvales; Malvaceae. The record is from Rfam.
AACCCAUGAUGAUGGCACCUUCUUAAAAGAUCCUUAAAUCUCUCCCAUGCAUCAUAUAAUGUCUCCAACUCAAUUUGAGCAAAAGGAGAGAUGUCAUUCCUCAACUU